UGGGGAAUUUUGGACAAUGGGGGAAACCCUGAUCCAGCCAUCCCGCGUGUGCGAUGAAGGCCUUCGGGUUGUAAAGCACUUUUGGCAGGAAAGAAACGUCAUGGGUUAAUACCCCGUGAAACUGACGGUACCUGCAGAAUAAGCACCGGCUAACUACGUGCCAGCAGCCGCGGUAAUACGUAGGGUGAAAGCGUUAAUCGGAAUUACUGGGCGUAAAGCGUGCGCAGGCGGUUCGGAAAGAAAGAUGUGAAAUCCCAGAGCUCAACUUUGGAACUGCAUUUUUAACUACCGGGCUAGAGUGUGUCAGAGGGAGGUGGAAUUCCGCGUGUAGCAGUGAAAUGCGUAGAUAUGCGGAGGAACACCGAUGGCGAAGGCAGCCUCCUGGGAUAACACUGACGCUCAUGCACGAAAGCGUGGGGAGCAAACAGG
RNAcentral lists this ribosomal RNA (429 nucleotides) under Acidobacteriota bacterium. Its description in RNAcentral is "Acidobacteria bacterium partial 16S ribosomal RNA". It matches the Rfam family "Bacterial small subunit ribosomal RNA", at positions 355 to 776 of the family's 1533-position model. Lineage: Bacteria; Pseudomonadati; Acidobacteriota. The record is from RNAcentral.